GACGAACGCUGGCGGCAUGCCUAACACAUGCAAGUCGAACGGAGAAAAGAAGCUUGCUUCUUUUCUUAGUGGCGGACGGGUGAGUAACGCGUGAGUAACCUGCCUUUCAGAGGGGGAUAACGUUCUGAAAAGAACGCUAAUACCGCAUAACACUACAGAGCUGCAUGGCUUUGUGGUCAAAGGAGCAAUCCGCUGAAAGAUGGACUCGCGUCCGAUUAGAUAGUUGGCGGGGUAACGGCCCACCAAGUCGACGAUCGGUAGCCGGACUGAGAGGUUGAACGGCCACAUUGGGACUGAGACACGGCCCAG
Molecule: ribosomal RNA, 309 nt
Filed under: uncultured bacterium
Lineage: Bacteria
Description: bacterial SSU rRNA
Rfam family: Bacterial small subunit ribosomal RNA
Source: RNAcentral